GGGGGUGAACUGGUUUCGACGGGAUCGUAGAAAUUAGGGAAGCGGGCAGAGGGCUCCGUUGGCCUCUUUAAAAAACGGAACAAACUUUAAAUGCCAAUCAACCGGCACUCGCAGCUGCAUAACUUUGCCUGCCAUGGAACUGGACCUAUCUGCGGGCCAGACCUCCAUGUAAAAGAGCAGACCUUAACUCUUAGAGGUUAAAGAGUGUCCCUGAUGGCCUAAGCUUUGCCGCCAUUUAGUAUUGAUGAAGCUACCGGACACCUGUCGCCCUGCUGUUAGGGCCAGGUAGAGGGGAAUACUCCAAAUAACAGCUGCGCCCGGAGAUGCCUUAGUGGACAUGGUUUCGGACAGGAGUUCGACUCUCCUCACCUCCACCA
Molecule: transfer-messenger RNA, 377 nt
Filed under: Eubacteriales bacterium
Lineage: Bacteria; Bacillati; Bacillota; Clostridia; Eubacteriales
Rfam family: transfer-messenger RNA
About the family: Bacterial tmRNA, also known as 10Sa RNA or SsrA, is named for its dual tRNA and mRNA-like properties.
Source: RNAcentral